UCCUCAUUGGCUAUUUAAAUGGAAAUCAGUCCACUACGAUUUUCCUUUCUUUCUCAGUGGUCUGCAUGUGUGGAACCAAGUGCUUAUUUUCCUUUGCUUUUUUUUCCUGUCAAAAUCCAAAAUGAUAUUUUGGCCCACUUGCACAUUUGUGGCUUGUCUAUUGUACCGUUUGAGUGAUGUUGUAAAUUAGACUACAUAGUAUUGAAUACAUAUUUGAUUCUUAAACAUUGAGGUUUGUGAAUUCUUG
RNAcentral lists this unclassified non-coding RNA (247 nucleotides) under Hevea brasiliensis (rubber tree). Lineage: Eukaryota; Viridiplantae; Streptophyta; Magnoliopsida; Malpighiales; Euphorbiaceae. The record is from RNAcentral.